CAGUAGCCGCGGGAAUACAGAGGCCUCAAGCGUUGUUCGGAUUCAUUGGGCGUAAAGGGUGCGUAGGUGGCUUGGUAAGUUGAAGGUGAAAUCUCGGGGCUUAACCCCGAAACUGCCUUCAAUACUGCUAGGCUCGAGGACUGUAGAGGAGAAUGGAAUUCACGGUGUAGCAGUGAAAUGCGUAGAUAUCGUGAGGAAGACCAGUGGCGAAGGCGAUUCUCUGGGCAGUUCCUGACACUGAGGCACGAAGGCCAGGGGAGCAAACGGGAUUAGAUACCCGCGUAGUCCCUGUCUCUUAUAC
This 301-nucleotide ribosomal RNA is filed under the name uncultured bacterium. Its description in RNAcentral is "partial 16S ribosomal RNA". It matches the Rfam family "Bacterial small subunit ribosomal RNA", at positions 509 to 807 of the family's 1533-position model. The record is from RNAcentral.